Molecule: long non-coding RNA, 745 nt
Organism: Gopherus flavomarginatus (Mexican gopher tortoise)
Lineage: Eukaryota; Metazoa; Chordata; Testudines; Testudinidae
Exons: 3
Source: RefSeq, a predicted model, not a curated record
GAGAAGUAACUACCCCCUUCAACGCACCUCAGGAAAGUGCACCUGGGCAGUGUGAGCAAUGCGGGAGAUACUAAAUAACUGAGAAUUGAUGAUUAUCUGACGCGGAUGGAGUUGGAGCUGAAAGCAAAGGAGCCACAGCUGGAGCAACAAAGGCUAGAGGAUAGUGAGAGGCAGCGAAAGCACGAGGCAGAACAGCAGGAGAAGCAGCGUAACCAUGAAUGGGAGAUGGAGGAGUGGAGAGGCAUGAGGACUCACCAAGGGGGGAGAAAACAAGACGUCAAUCAUUUCUUAAGGAAGACAUGUAUGUUGGCCUGGCAGCCAGAACACCUGCAAUCAGUUUCUGACUAUCAGAUUUCCUGUGCGACCUUAUGGAAAUCCAUUUCUUAAUAAUUGGGUGUGUGAUGAAGUGGGGAUUUUCCCUUGUUAUGUUGUAUGUGAAUCUUACUGUUUUGCAUGAAUGCUGUGUGUGCCUCAGUUUCCCUGUGUAUUGCACCAAUGUCUAGGUGAUGGGAAUAAGCGUGUGUGACUUUUGUGAGGAUUAUUCCAGCUGCCUGCAUGUUUGCUGUGGCCACCACUACAUAACCUGAGACCCAGGAGGGAGACACGAUUAGGUGACUCUUGCAAACACCAGAGCAGCAGCAACGGGCAGGGCAGGGGUGAGGCAAUUGGAAGCAAGUCAGUCUCAGCUGGCUUGGGGCUCUGGGCUCCCCUGCCCCACAAGAUGGACUUGGUUGAAAGUCACCAA